AUCGCUUCUCGGCCUUUUGGCUAAGAUCAAGUGUAGUAUCUGUUCUUAUCAGUUUAAUAUCUGAUACGUUCUCUACCCGAGAACAUCGUAUUAAGCGGAUUUUUGGAGCCAGGAGUCGGGGUGGGAGCUUGCUCCGCCCGCUCCACGCAUCG
RNAcentral lists this small nuclear RNA (152 nucleotides) under Delphinapterus leucas (beluga whale). RNAcentral's name for it is "U2 spliceosomal RNA (ENSDLEG00000017634.1)". It matches the Rfam family "U2 spliceosomal RNA", at positions 1 to 153 of the family's 192-position model. Rfam says of the family: U2 is a small nuclear RNA (snRNA) component of the spliceosome (involved in pre-mRNA splicing). Complementary binding between U2 snRNA (in an area lying towards the 5' end but 3' to hairpin I) and the branchpoint sequence (BPS) of the intron results the bulging out of an unpaired adenosine, on the BPS, which initiates a nucleophilic attack at the intronic 5' splice site, thus starting the first of two transesterification reactions that mediate splicing. Lineage: Eukaryota; Metazoa; Chordata; Mammalia; Artiodactyla; Monodontidae. The record is from Rfam by way of RNAcentral.